UUCCGGUUGAUCCCGCCGGAGGUUACUGCUAUCGGUGUUCGCCUAAGCCAUGCGAGUCAUAUGUAGCAAUACAUGGCGUACUGCUCAGUAACACGUGGAUAACCUGCCCUUGGGACCGGCAUAACCCCGGGAAACUGGGGAUAAUUCCGGAUAACGCAUAUGUGCCGGAAUGCUUUAUGCGUAAAAUGGAUUCGUCUGCCCAAGGAUGGGUCUGCGGCCUAUCAGGUAGUAGUGGGUGUAAUGUACCUACUAGCCAGCGACGGGUACGGGUUGUGAGAGCAAGAGCCCGGAGAUGGAUUCUGAGACAUGAAUCCAGGCCCUACGGGGCGCAGCAGGCGCGAAAACUUUACAAUGCGGGAAACCGUGAUAAGGGGACACCGAGUGCCAGCAUCAUAUGCUGGCUGUCCAGGUGUGUAAAAUACACCUGUUAGCAAGGGCCGGGCAAGACCGGUGCCAGCCGCCGCGGUAACACCGGCGGCCCGAGUGGUGAUCGUGAUUAUUGGGUCUAAAGGGUCCGUAGCCGGUUUGGUCAGUCCUCCGGGAAAUCUGAUAGCUUAACUAUUAGGCUUUCGGGGGAUACUGCCAGACUUGGAACCGGGAGAGGUAAGAGGUAC
RNAcentral lists this ribosomal RNA (614 nucleotides) under uncultured archaeon. Its description in RNAcentral is "bacterial SSU rRNA". It matches the Rfam family "Archaeal small subunit ribosomal RNA", at positions 1 to 618 of the family's 1478-position model. The record is from RNAcentral.